UAUUGGUAUUUGUUGUUGAAACUUGAAACCCCGUCACGGGUACUCUACACACUACACGUUGGAGUUGGGGGUCAGGCUGGCGAAACGCACCCCGUGACGUCGAUGACAUCGUAGAUGGGUACAUCACUGAUGUGUGUUUCAUAUUGUUUCAGGUAUUAUCUAUGCGAAUGCCAAGAUUUCGUCCCGACUCGUACGGCUGAAGAGUGAUGCUGAGUGUUCUCCCGUAUGCCCGACACCUAUGGCUGAUCAAAGACGCAUUCGCCACACCGUUUGAGGAAGAUGUUUAUACUGAAUGCAUGGAGACAUAUAAUUCAGAAAAUUAUAAAUCACGCCGCAAAGAUCGUUUCGGGAUGUUCACGACGGACAUACGCCACGCCGCUUCUGACACAACUCGAGUGGCUGAGCUGUGAGUCUCCAUUGCUCGAAAGGGACACUCACUGUCUUCAGGCUGACACACUCGCAUCUGGCUCCUGACCAUCUGAAACGGCUGCUGACACAGCGUAGCGAGGUGUCAAGACGAAGUACCCGGGCUACGGAUGCUGGUCUCCUGCAGCUGCCACGGGUGCGCUCAGAGCGAGCGCGGCGGCACUUCUGUUAUAGAGCCGCCAAGAGCUGGAACGAGACCUUGGAGGCUGUCAGGGAGCCAGUAGUUGUCGCCACAUUUAGUCAUCUCUCUCCAGUCUCCAUGGCUACUGAAUGAAGACCUGGACUCCUGAAUAGAAUGCAGUACAAACUACUGACCUACUCCCAAGAACCAGCACCGCCUGCUACUCUAAGUUCACCAGCUGACAGCUGUUGGCAAAACUUUCACUGGUAACCUUGUCCCUCACAAUAACUGGUAUUAGAUUGGCAGCCUGAAGCCCAUCAACUGUGAUGUGUUAUGAACAGGUGAUCUGUGAAUGGUGAUCACACAGUGUGUGCGUGCAUUAACAAUUAAUCCUGUAUUUUUUAAUAAAAAUGUUGAAAAUAU
Amphibalanus amphitrite is the source of this 970-nucleotide long non-coding RNA. RefSeq lists it as uncharacterized. The record is from RefSeq and is a predicted model, not a curated record. The transcript is spliced from 2 exons. NCBI's taxonomy places the organism in Eukaryota, Metazoa, Arthropoda, Thecostraca, Balanomorpha, Balanidae.